This is a non-coding RNA of Corythoichthys intestinalis (scribbled pipefish), 72 nucleotides long. The record is from the annotation of a RefSeq genome assembly. Lineage: Eukaryota; Metazoa; Chordata; Actinopteri; Syngnathiformes; Syngnathidae.
GCCUGGUUAGCUCAGUCGGUGAGCAUGAGACUCUUAAUCUGAGGGUCGUGGGUUCGAGCCCCACAUUGGACG